RNAcentral lists this long non-coding RNA (1512 nucleotides) under Macaca mulatta (Rhesus monkey). RNAcentral describes it as "lncRNA (ENSMMUG00000061246.1)". Lineage: Eukaryota; Metazoa; Chordata; Mammalia; Primates; Cercopithecidae. The record is from RNAcentral.
AAUUCAGUUCCUCAGUCGCACUAGCUGAAUUUCAAGGGUUUGAUAGCCACGUGUGGCUGCUGCCUGAUGCACUGGAGCAUGCAGAUAUAGAACAUUCCCAUCAUCAUAGAAGAUUCCGUGGGACAGGAUUGCUGAACUGAAAUACUGCUCUUUGUGAAGUGGAGGCAAGUUCACUGGUUUUUGAGGUUUUUGGCUACCGAAGGACAGUUGUGGAGGGACAGGAAUGGGGAAGCUGAUGAAUACAAAACAUCAGCUAAAAUGGGAAGGAGUGAGUGUGUGACAGAGGCGUGAACUGGAGGGGCUGCCAGGAAUGACAGGCGUCAAGCAGGGCUGCGUGUGAUAAAAUGGGAACCCAUUGCUAUACAUGCGCCAUACCCUGUCCUCAUGACAUCACAGAGGGACUUCACCCAAAGAAACAUUUCCAGCCCCUCUUUGCCCUGCCCCUCUUUUCCCCAGUCCCCCUUCCUUCCUGGCUGCCAAAAAGAGAUGGCAGAAAAAUACAUUUGAUUGGGAGAGUGGCUAAAAGCUGACAUCUGUUUAUACUUCAGUCCAGGCUGUCGAUCUGGGUGACAUUUACUGUAUUGGGCCCCUCUCUGUUCCUCUUUCUCUCUCUCUUUCCCUCUGUCUUCUUAUUGCCUCUUACACAUAAAGUAGGGAUUCUCUCUCCCCAGCGCAAGUGAGUAUACAUAUCUGCUUUGUAGGCUUUCCUAAGUCCUUGGAAAGACAGAAGAUCUUAGAUCACCUGAUUAUGCCUACAGAUCCCAGCUAUGUCUUCUGGUCUUGUUUCAGCAGAGUUAUUGUUGAUCUAAUCUCCACCUUUCUGGACAUUGAGGAGGAAAUUCAGGCACAGGUGUCCCAGGUCACAGAGGAAGAGGGGAGCCCGGGUUCAAAGUUGAGGGGAGUGACUCCAGUGCCCUCACUUCUAACUGCUGCAAAGGGAGCUCCAAAGGAUUUUACAGUCCAGGUAACAGUUCUAGAAGCUUCCUGUUGUCAGCUCUGUUGAGUAUUUAUCAGCAGGAGAUGCUGAAGACAGUGAGCAAUUAGGAGGUCAUUGCAUUGGUUCAGAGGGGAAAAAAAGUUGAUAAGGUGAUGUUUAUGGCAUAGAAUUCACUGGAUCAGAUGAGAAGAUGAGCUGCAUGUAGGGGUGAAGGAGAAGUAAGAAGGGAAGGUUGAAGCUCCAGCCUGGGCAGCUGGGUAGGCACCAGCCCCCUUAUCUUGGGAGUAGAUAUGCUCGGGAAGGAGCUGGGCUCAGUGGGAGGCUGGGAGUUGGCAGGCCCUGCCCGAGGAGGCGAAGCUGGCUGCAAGCAGCACCCAGGCUCACACUGAAACCCCCUUCCUGGUGCUGCUGCAUCACAGCACAGAAUUUAGCCCUGUGUUAGAAGUUCUAUUGGGACUGAAACCCCAUUCUCUGUUCUCUCUCUCUUUGUGGGUCUAGAAAUACCAGGCACUGAAAUACUCUGCAACUCCCCUUGCAGGUGCAGACCUACAUUCGGUAACAGCCCUUUCCCCUCC